Molecule: ribosomal RNA, 396 nt
Filed under: uncultured bacterium
Lineage: Bacteria
Description: bacterial SSU rRNA
Rfam family: Bacterial small subunit ribosomal RNA
Source: RNAcentral
GGAAUAUUGGACAAUGGGCGAAAGCCUGAUCCAGCAAUGCCGCGUGAGUGAUGAAGGCCUUAGGGUUGUAAAGCUCUUUUACCCGGGAUGAUAAUGACAGUACCGGGAGAAUAAGCUCCGGCUAACUCCGUGCCAGCAGCCGCGGUAAUACGGAGGGAGCUAGCGUUGUUCGGAAUUACUGGGCGUAAAGCGUACGUAGGCGGCUUUGUAAGUAAGAGGUGAAAGCCUGGAGCUCAACUCCAGAACUGCCUUUUAGACUGCAUCGCUUGAAUCCAGGAGAGGUGAGUGGAAUUCCGAGUGUAGAGGUGAAAUUCGUAGAUAUUGGGUAGAACACCGGUGGCGAAGGCGGCCACCUGGCUCGCAACUGACGCUGAGGCGCGAAAGCGUGGGGAGCAA